Molecule: long non-coding RNA, 508 nt
Filed under: Homo sapiens (human)
Lineage: Eukaryota; Metazoa; Chordata; Mammalia; Primates; Hominidae
Description: non-protein coding lnc-RXFP3-1:1
Source: RNAcentral
AGGUUGAGGGAACCAAGGGGAGAGGCUGGUGUCAUCUGAAUUUAGAAGCUGGAAGAAGGGACCCUGCAGCAGAGGCAGCUCUGACCCUCCGGAACCCAGUUUCCCAAAGGGACCUUGCUAUACUGGCCUCCUAGUCAUUUGACAAGGCAAAUUGCAUUUACACAAUGAAGGCAAGACAAGGGUUUUCUUGAAGAUCUUGCUUAGCUACAGCAGGAUCUUGAAAGAUCCAAGUAAAUUCCUCAAAAUGGGAGACUGAUUUUCAGGAAUUGCCUAAUGUGACUGUGAGAGCUGGCAAGUCUGAAACUCACAGGGCAGGCCAGUAGGCUGGAAAUUCCAAGAGUCGAUAUUGCAGUCUUGAGUUUAAAGGCAGUCUGGAGGCAGAAUUGUUUCCUCUUCAGGGUCCCUCAGUCUGUUUUCUUAAGGCCUUCAGCUGAUUGGAUGAAGCCUGUCUACAUUAUGGCAGGUAAUAUAAUUCAUUCAAAGUCUACUGAUUUAAAUAUUAAUCACA